CGGGAGCUUCCGGUCUGGGCGGUGGCGGGCCGGCUUGAAGCUGCGCGCGGGCGAGGCAUGUCGGAGGGACGCGCGGCGCCGGGGAGCGCCGCGCCGCUGGAGGAGUUGAGGAGCUGGCCCGAGGAGCUGUGUCGCCGGGAGCUGCCGUCCGUCCUGCCGCAGCUCCUCUCUAUGUAUCAGCAUUCCGACAAUUGGAUUGAGGAUAUUCAAAUUCUGAAAAUUAUUGUGGAAAUGUUUUUACCUCAUAUGAACCACCUGACACUGGAAGAGACUUUCUUCUCACAAGUGCUGCCAAAGACUGUGAAAUUAUUUGAUGACAUGAUGUGCGAGUUAACCAGUCAAGCCAGAGGACUGUCAAGCCAUAAUUUAGAAAUCCAGACCACUCUAAGGAAUAUUUUACAGACAAUGGUACAGCUCUUAGGAGCUCUUACAGGAUGUGUUCAGCAUGUCUGUGCCACCCAGGACGCCAUCAUUCUAGAAAAUAUUCAUAGUCUUCCUUCCUCAGUCCUACAUGUAAUCAAAAGUACAUUUGUACAUUGUAAGGAUAGUGAAUCUGUCUAUUCUGGGCAUUUACACCUAGUUUCAGAUCUUCUCCAGGCUCUUUUCAAGGAGGCUUAUUGUCUGCAAAAGCAGCUAAUGGAACUCCUGGAUAUGGUUUGCAUGGACCCUUUAAUAGAUGAAAAUGAUGAUAUUUUGAAUAUGGUAAUAGUUAUUCAUUCAUUGUUGGAUAUCUGCUCUGUUAUUUCCAGUAUGGACCACGCGUUUCAUGCCAAUACGUGGAAAUUUAUAAUUAAGCAGAGCCUUAAGCACCAGUCGGUUAUAAAAAAUCAGCUGAAACACAGAGAUAUAAUUGCCAGCUUGUGUGAAGACAUUCUUUUCUCCUUCCAUUCUUGUUUACAGUUAGCUGAGCAGAUGACACAGUCAGAGGCACAGGAUAAUGCGGACUAUAAAUUAUUUCAGAAAACACUCAAAUUGUGUCGUUUCUUUGCCAACUCUCUUUUGCACUAUACUAAGGAAUUUCUUCCUUUACUUUCUGAUUCUUGCUGUACACUGCACCAGCUUUAUCUUCAGAUACACAGCAAAUUCCCUCCAAGCCUAUACGCUGCCAGGAUCUCUAAAGCGCAACAGGAGGAAAUAGCAGGCGCUUUCCUAGCUACAUUGGACCCGCUCGUCAGUCAGCUUCUCACCUUCCAACCUUUCACGCACGUGGUUUUAGACAGUAAAUUAGAGCUGCCAUGUGACCUACAGCUCCCACAGUGUCUUCUGCUGGUUGUCAUCAUGGAUAAGCUGCCGUCUCAGCCCGACCACGUGCAGGCGCUGUGGUGCACGGAGAGCCAGCUCCCGGAAGCUGCAGCCAGGAUAUCUCUGUUCAAAGCUGUUUUCUGCAGUUUUGAGCAAUGUGCUGGUGAACUCUCUCUGCCUGUUUAUCUGCGAGGAGUAAAGAGUAAAGGGCAAGUGGAAGUUGCCGUCACCCUGUAUCAGCACGUUUGUGUUCAUCUCUGUGCAUUUAUCACUUCCUUUCAUCCCUCCUUGUUCCCUGAACUGGAUGUUGCUCUGUUGAAUGCUGUGCUCAGUGCUAAUAUGAUCACGUCUCUGUUAGCUAUGGAUGCAUGGUGCUUCCUUUCCCGAUACGGGACUGCUGAACUCUGUGCACACCAUGUCACCAUAGUGGCUCAGCUGAUAAAAUCUUGCCCCGGAGAAUGCUACCAGCUCACCAACCUGUCCAUACUGUUGAGGCGACUCUUCUUCUUCAUGGCCCCACCCCAACAGGUGGAGUUUGUCCAGAAGUUUUCCCCCAAAGCAGCAGAAAACCUGCCUCUCUGGCAGUGUAUUUCCCUCCAGGCGUUACCCGCUGAGCUGCAGAAGCAAACGGUACAUGACGUCACCAGAGUUGGGACUGCACGGUGUCAGGAAUGGCUCAGCAGUAGCCGGACUUGGGGAGAACUUGAAUCUUUGAACACGCUGCUGUCUGCGUUGCUUGCUGCGUGUAAUUCCGCCCGUGAAGCUCUGGAUAUUCCACAGCAAACUGCGGUUAUGGAGACUGGGAGUCAGCUCUGGGCUUUUUUAAACACUAACCUGGUAACAGGUCAGCCGCACGUUCAGCAGACGCUUAGUCUUUUACUUCCACUAUUGGGAUUUUUCGUUCAGACUCUAGAUCCUCAUCUGAUAAGUCAGGUAGUAACUUUGCAGACUUCACUGCUUAAAUUAGAGCCUCCUGACCAUGUUUGUUUGGCAGUGCUUGAUUUUGUAUCUUCUCUAGGAAAGUUUUUCAUACCUCAAGCUUUCCAGGACAAACUUCUGCCCAGCCUGUCUUCUAUUUUUGCCUUACUGCUGGCUGACAGGAAUUGGAUAGUAGAACAACAUUCCUUGGAGGCGUUUACUCAGUUCGCAGAGGGAACAAAUCAUGAAGAGAUAGUUCCACAAUGUCUCCGUUCUGAAGACAUAAGGAACAAAGUUGUAUCCUUUCUGGAGAAGACCGGGCUUGUAGACGAAACUGCAGUUGCCAGAGUGGAACGUGUGAAACAGGAAAAAGGCAUUUUCCGGGAACACUUUGCUACAGUUGCUGUAGAAGCAGCAAAGUGGUCGUCUCUACAGCCUGAUGCAAAGAGAGCCCGUCGGGAGUUCCCCUUGGAAGAAGAGUACAGGUCGGCGCUGCAGGCGGCAUCAGGGGCCUUGGAGGCAGUAGAGUCCUUACUCCAGAAGGCUCCGGCUCCAGACUGGCUUCCACUGAAGAUGGAGAUGCUCCAGGAAAGGAUUGAUGAGCUGAGACGACGCGUACUCUAGGGUGGCUCUUGAAUGGACCGGACCGGGUCACCAGACAGAGCUAGGUACGAUUUUCACCAUCCUACACUGUACUCUGUAGCAGUAACUUCAGCCUUUGCGCAGCUACCUGCUCUUCAUAGAAACUGGCCUCAGACGCACACGGGCUCCUCCUCCACGAACCCAGCGCCGCGCCUCUCCGCGGGGCGCCAGCCAGCACUCAGGGGGCUCGAGCUUCAGUCGGCAAAAACGG
RNA transcript from Lutra lutra (Eurasian river otter), 3013 nucleotides. It is a transcript of the gene named FIGNL1 interacting regulator of recombination and mitosis, with no coding region annotated. The transcript has 25 exons. Lineage: Eukaryota; Metazoa; Chordata; Mammalia; Carnivora; Mustelidae. The record is from RefSeq and is a predicted model, not a curated record.